GAUGAACGCUGGCGGCGUGCCUAAUACAUGCAAGUCGAGCGAACGGACGAGAAGCUUGCUUCUCUGAUGUUAGCGGCGGACGGGUGAGUAACACGUGGAUAACCUACCUAUAAGACUGGGAUAACUUCGGGAAACCGGAGCUAAUACCGGAUAAUAUUUUGAGCCGCAUGGUUCAAAAGUGAAAGACGGUCUUGCUGUCACUUAUAGAUGGAUCCGCGCUGCAUUAGCUAGUUGGUAAGGUAACGGCUUACCAAGGCAACGAUGCAUAGCCGACCUGAGAGGGGGGUCGGCCACACUGGAACUGAGACACGGUCCAGACUCCUACGGGAGGCAGCAGUAGGGAAUCUUCCGCAAUGGGCGAAAGCCUGACGGAGCAACGCCGCGUGAGUGAUGAAGGUCUUCGGAUCGUAAAACUCUGUUAUUAGGGAAGAACAUAUGUGUAAGUAACUGUGCACAUCUUGACGGUACCUAAUCAGAAAGCCACGGCUAACUACGUG
Molecule: ribosomal RNA, 497 nt
Filed under: uncultured bacterium
Lineage: Bacteria
Description: partial 16S ribosomal RNA
Rfam family: Bacterial small subunit ribosomal RNA
Source: RNAcentral